Oncorhynchus tshawytscha (Chinook salmon) is the source of this 275-nucleotide long non-coding RNA. The record is from Ensembl. NCBI's taxonomy places the organism in Eukaryota, Metazoa, Chordata, Actinopteri, Salmoniformes, Salmonidae.
CAGACGGUACUAUGGGAGAGGAGAGAGACAGUAGACAGACUGUAGCAACGGAGAGGGGAGACAACAGACAGACGGUAGUAACAGAGAGGAGAGACAGUAGACAGACUGUAGUAACAGAGAGGAGAGACAGUAGACAGACGGUAGUAAUGGAGAGGAGAGAGACAGUAGACAGACGGUACUAUGGGAGAGGAGAGAGACAGUAGACAGACUGUAGCAACGGAGAGGGGAGACAGUAGACAGACGGUAGUAACAGAGAGGAGAGACAGUAGACAGAC